CUACGGGCGGCACCAGUGAGGAAUAUUGCACAAUGGGGGGAACCCUGAUGCAGCAACGCCGCGUGGAGGAUGACGCAUUUCGGUGUGUAAACUCCUUUUAUAUGUCAAGAAAAUGACGGUAGCAUAUGAAUAAGCACCGGCUAACUCCGUGCCAGCAGCCGCGGUAAUACGGAGGGUGCAAGCGUUACUCGGAAUCACCGGGCGUAAAGGACGCGUAGGCGGGUUGGAAAGUCAGGUGUGAAAUCCUACAGCUUAACUGUAGAACUGCACUUGAAACUUCUAAUCUAGAGUAUGGGAGGGGGAGAUGGAAUUAGUGGUGUAGGGGUAAAAUCCGUAGAUAUCACUAGGAAUACCGAAAGCGAACGCGAUCUCCUGGAACAUUACUGACGCUAAGGCGUGAAAGCGUGGGGAGCAAACAGGAUUAGAUACCCCUGUAGUC
RNAcentral lists this ribosomal RNA (439 nucleotides) under uncultured bacterium. RNAcentral describes it as "partial 16S ribosomal RNA". It matches the Rfam family "Bacterial small subunit ribosomal RNA", at positions 339 to 795 of the family's 1533-position model. The record is from RNAcentral.